This is a long non-coding RNA of Gadus morhua (Atlantic cod), 1615 nucleotides long. RefSeq lists it as uncharacterized. The record is from RefSeq and is a predicted model, not a curated record. Lineage: Eukaryota; Metazoa; Chordata; Actinopteri; Gadiformes; Gadidae. The transcript is spliced from 2 exons.
GGUGGGUUAGCGUUGCUGUUGCUGAGUUGUUGUUCCCGACAUAGUCACCGAGACGUUUAUGAUGGCCCGGGCCAGAAGAUCCAACUGAAGGUUCUGGAAGUCCUGGUCCAUACUUUAAAGUCUAUAGGCUAAUCGUCACUGUGUGGACAUGCUUGUAUCGUCCACACACUCUUGGGAGUCAAAGGAUGAUUUAAUUUUCAUGGGAGUGUGUCGGGACCUCAAAGGCAUUCCUCCCGAGCGGGUUCAUCUGGAUCAUAUCGUCCGCGGUGGAGGAGUCCGGCUGGGUCUCCUCAGCAGCAUGCAGAGGCCUUCUGUCAGCAGCAGGAUUGUGGGUUGGACGUCUGGAUUCACGCAGCUCCUAAUGUGGAAUGACGAGAGAUCUAGAAGGGCCGGGUCCCUGACUCAUGAUCUAUUCAAACAUGUAGAACUCUAUUGUGUUUAUGUCACCAUAGUUGAUCAGGUAGCACUUUACAAUAAGGUUAGACUAAUUGACCAUUCAUUAACAUAAAUUGCAGUUAUGAAACUGUAAUAAGCAUUAUCUAACAGAGUUAACAGUGAACUAAUAGUCUAGUAAUCCUUUACUAAUGGUGUUCAUAACUAAGGUAGGGUUAACCCUAUUAAAUAAUGCAUACAUUAACACCUAAGCCACUAACCCAAAAACCUAUUCUUAUGAUGUAUAAUAAUGCUUUUUACUGCAUUAACUUAAUGUUAAUUAAGUUAGUCAAUGUACCCUUAUCGUAAAUUGUUACCGUUUAUCAGUUCAGUGAUCAACUAUUUUGUACUACCACCAAUUAUUGUUAGUCAUUGUUAUUACCCUGUUUGACUAAUCCAAAGUAUUAUUAUCAUACUUAUUAAGGUUCUCCUUCUGUUUUAAUAAGGACCACCAGGCUGAAUCAAAAGCACUUUUAUUGAAUAUGAACUUGAGGGCCUGUUUCCACCUAGAACGUCCCAACAUACAAACUUUAGCACGGGCGGAAAAAAAGAUAGGAAGACAACUCGAUUAUUUGUAAAAUACAUUUAAUCCCUUUAUAUUUGGGCACACCGAAGAGGAGAGAAGGCUUGUAGGUGCAGUGCCAAUGCAGCGCGCUGAGGUCGCUGUCACCACGCUGUGCAACAUAAGGCGCACCUGGUUCCAUCACUGGCAGUUUACUGAGUCGACCUGGGUCACACUGAGGCAGGACCGUGUGAUGGACUCCUCCGCCUGGACCUCCAACCACACGUUCAGGAGACCAGAGUAUAUCUAUCACCGAGGACAGCUUGGUGACAGUCAGACCUACACUGCAGAGGCACCGUCGCCAUAACCCUCGAAGCGUAUUAGACAAAGUGAUCACAAUAAAAAGGCAUACGUUGUCUUAGCACAAUCUUCAUGGUUUUAAUUAGUAGAAUUGUACAGAUCUGUACAUGUUACAAGACAUAUUUUCGCUUAUCUCACCAUAGCUUUAACUAGUUAGCAAGACACGGCUGUCGUGCGGAGACGAUAACAGAAAUACUUCUGGUUACGCGGAAGGUGUGGAGGAUGCGUGUUAGAUAUUACAGUUUUGUGUGUGUGUGUGUGUGUGUGUGUGUGUGUGUGUGUGUGUGUGUGUGUGUGUGUGUGUGUGUGUGUGUGUGUGUG